GAAUGUAUCCCAAGAAAUCAGAGACGCUGAUUGGAAGGAAUAUACGCACUGCUAUGGUCAUUACCGUGUUAUUUACAAUACUAAGAUGUGGAAGCAGCCCAUGUGCCCAUCAAUAGAUGAGUGGAUAAAAAUGCUUUGGUACAUUGGCAGAAUGGAAUACUACUUGGCUGUGUAAAAGAAGGGAAUCUUAACUGUUUGUGACAGCGUGGAUGGACCUGGAGAGCAUUAGGAUUCAAUUAACAAAACGGGAACAACAUUGUUACACAAGCUACAACAUGGAUGAACCUUGAAGACAAUUUCAGUGCAAAAGCCAGUCAAAGAAGACAACUACUGUGUGAUUCCACUCACAUGUUUUCCCUUGGGUCAUCUGAGUCAGAAAGGAAAGGCAGGAUUUAGGUACCAGUGGUGGUGGGGCUGGGCUUAGCGAUGCAGUGUUGUUUACUGGGGGAAGAGUUUCAGUUGGAGAAGAUGGGGAAAGUGAUGGAUAUGAUGGUGGUGUGGCCAGCACCUCAGUAUGAAUAUCCUUAACACCACUGCACUGUGUACCGCAAAACAGUGGAAAUGGUAAAUUUCAUUGUGAUAAAACUAUGGAAAAAAGAGAGAGGAAACGAAGGCCAGCUCUUAAAAUAGAACCAUGGUGAGAUGUGCUCAGGCUACCUGAAUUCCCGCUCCCAGGAGCCCCCUGGACACAUAGUGAUGAGAAGAGCCUGGGGUGUGGGGUCUGUUGAGAAACCCUGGGCAAGCCUUGGCUCCCUCCUGUCCACCCACAGGCCUGUUAAUAGAAGCAGAGACGCUGCGUUCGGGUCACCAUUGUGUGCAGUUGUGAAAGGAACACAGCAUUCCAGCUCAGCAUCCUGCCUGAUGCCCAACCCCUGCUGCUGAGGAUGGAACCCCCCAUGGCAACCCCACCUGCCACCCGUGCCACCCAGCUGCCCUUGGAGGAGACCGAUGAGAAGUGCCAACGGCUUAAAUGGGCCUCUUUUAAUGUUUACAUUAAUAAAGAUUUUAACCUCAAA
Molecule: long non-coding RNA, 1016 nt
Organism: Myotis davidii
Lineage: Eukaryota; Metazoa; Chordata; Mammalia; Chiroptera; Vespertilionidae
Exons: 2
Source: RefSeq, a predicted model, not a curated record